UGAGCAGAUCUUACUCUGAAGAGAGAUUUCAGCUGCCCAUACAUUCAAUCCUCUCCUUCCCCUUUGGAAAAUACUUGGACCCAAAUGCCCCCUCCCAACCACACCAGACACACACACACACAUACACACACACAGUAAUUUAAGACUUCCACUCCAGAGCUUCAGUUCUUCUGUAGAAUGGCUGCACAUUUUAACUGCACCAUUGCAAGAAGGAAGCUCUAACAUGUGCUUUGGAUCUUAGGAGGAAUUCACUUGGUAAACCAGAGCCAUGAUUUGAAAUAAGUGAGAUAGGGUUUCCUCCUUGUGCCCUGACCACAUUCUCUGUGCCCCUGCAAAUCUUCAUGCCUUAAAAGGGCAGCUGGGGGCCUGACAGAGGUUGGUCCUCUUCUAGCAAAGUGUGCUCUGGGACGAGAACUUGGCGGAGCCAGCCAGUGCAUCUUAACCUGUCUCUGCCCACCUAGCAUCAUUUCUGGCCUUGGUGGCACACCUUUGCUCCAGUUUCAAAUCAAGUAGAACACAGCCAAUUGCCUUGGAGUCACGUCAGAAGUAGCAAGAAUUUGUUUGCAAAUUGGGUAACAGCUGACCCUUGAACAACACAGGUUUGAGCUGCAUGGGUCCACUUCUAUGUAGAUAUCUUCCGAUGGUAAAUACAGCAGACCUACCCUGUGGUCGAAUCCACGAUGCAAAGGAACCAUGGUUCCAGACAGCUGACUAUAGGUUAUAUGAGGAUUAACCCUCAAGUUGUUCAAGGGUCAGGUGUAGUUUAAACGUCUCUAAUUUUCUUUUUAUUAAAGUAUAGUUGAUUUACAAUGUUGUGCCAAUUUCUGCUGUACAGCAAAGUGACCAAAUCAUUCAUAUAUAUAUAUGUAUGUAUGUAUGUGUGUGUAUAUAUAUAUACACACACACACAUUCUUUUGGAAAUAUUUUCCAUCAAGGUCUAUCCCAGGAGAUUGAAUAUAGUUUCGUGUGCUAUAUGGUAGGACCUUACUGUCUAUCCAUUCUAAAAGUAAUAGUUUGCAGCUAUUAACCCCAAACUCCCAGUCCAUCCCACUCUCUUACCCCUCCCCUGGUGUAAUUCAUUUUUUAAAUGCAAAUUUUAAAGUGGCCUUGACUGAGGCAAUUCCGAUAUCUCAGUGGAUAUUUUAAACCACUGACGAAGAACAGUAAGGGAAUUUAUAGACACCCUAGCCAUCCGAGCAGCAACUUCUCUAUUGUCAGGGUCCCUGGAGAGGGUCCUAGGUAGGAAUUUCAUAUUGGUUUUGUCUCCUCCUCAGGCCCAUGCACCAAAGCCAUGAGUAGAUGUCCACUUACCUGGUAUUUUAAACUCUCUGUAAAUUAUUAGCCAAAUAGAGCUGUGAGGGGGUUGUAUUUAUGGGCGUGUAGAAAGAACACACAAGCACCUCAUAGACCAGGAUGAUUAAGUUUGUUUUAAAAGGAAGAGCAGAUAGCCCUGUCUUGAGUUCCCUGGACAACUCCUAGACUUGAGAUAAUUGAGAAUUAUGGCCUGAUUCCAGACCCCAGAGCCAGCCUCCACCCUUCUCCCUUGCCUCUCUUUGUCCUUUUUUUUUUUAUUUUUUCUUGUCAUUUCUACCCCCAGCUAGGGUCAUUCAAAAACUGCCUGGGUGAUCUGAGAAAAGCCAGUAAUCCAGUUUGGCCUGUUUUAAUAGCAUCUUCUCUCUCCGAUGCUAUCCCCCCCAUCUGUGGUUGAGGAAAGAGUUAUUCGUUCAUUUUUCACACAGAAGGGCAUUGAGUCCUGUUGGGCCAUUACCUGCAUGUGGCAGCAGGACUUUCCAUUUCUCCGAGGUUAGUGCUUGAAUGAAGACUUAUUUUGGCUGAGUCCACUGAGGUUGUGCCACUGAGUCCCGGGUGGCUGGUGGUAUAAUCUUGGUGUUCUGAUCACUUUCAAGCACUGCCAUCACUUUGUUUCCGUGGGCUUCUGUCACACAAGAUGAAAAUGAGAAGUGUUAGAAUUGGAGAAGGUGAUUUGGAAUUCACCCUCCUUUGCAGGCUGUUUUCAUGGACCAUUUCCUGUGUGUGAAAGUAGGAGAGCUGUGCUGGUGGCUGGUGUCCUUGCAGAGAAUGUGUGCAAGACUUGACUCCAAGCCUUUGUUGCCUAAGGCACUUGUUAAAACUGUCGGCCGGAAACCAAAUCCUUUGUACCCUCCUUUGUGCCAGGAAUAGGUCCUUAUUUCCCAGUUACUGUUUGAAGUAACAUUUAAAAGCAAUAGGAAAGAAAAUGAGAAAGAUAUGUUAGUUGUCAGUUGUUCUGAGCCAGAACUGGGCAGAUGUGGGAAAUUUCCGUAUAGUGUAUAAAAAUUUCACUCUGCAGGGAAGUUGUUUUCCUCUGUGUCUCUUCUUUGACCUUAAUUGAUUGAAAAUAGCAUUACUAUUAAGAUUAUUCAAAAUUUUACUGUUACUAUAAAAUUAUUCAGAAUAUGUUACUAUAAAAUUAUUCAAAAUAUUGUUACUAUAAAAUUAUUCAAAAUUUUACUGUUGCUAUAAAAUUCAAAAUAUCAUGACAAUGAAACUGCCUUAAUUUGUAGACUAUUAAAGUGAUCUCC
This 2561-nucleotide long non-coding RNA is filed under the name Sus scrofa (pig). Its description in RNAcentral is "lncRNA (ENSSSCG00005042486.1)". Lineage: Eukaryota; Metazoa; Chordata; Mammalia; Artiodactyla; Suidae. The record is from RNAcentral.